GGGGCCCAUGUAUCCCUCAACAGGCCUAAAAAUUACAUAUAAUACCAACUGUAAGCCCACGAAAGGUUUCGUUUUCUGAAGUUGGAGAGUAGGAAAAAUGGCUCUUAAAUAAACAAGAAAAUUAGUUUCAAUUGUUCCUGUUUAUGACAUAUGACUGGCGGCCGCUCCACGUCCAAAAGCCGAACCAAAGUGGAAAAGUUGAAAACCUGGAAAGUAAAAGCAAAAGCAAAAGCCAAAGCCACAAAUAUUAUACAAUAUUUCAUUGAUAAAGUCUAUGGAAAUUGCCAUUUUUUCAAUGGCUUGGAUAGAAACAAAAGGGCGUUGACAGAGAACACAGCGUUUACAGCCCGCUUACAAGUCAUCAUAGAUAACAAUGUCAAGGAAAAUUUCGCAAGUAGCAAAAGCCUCGGAAAUUCGUGAGCACUAUGCUGUAGUUUCUGAUCAUGAAUGAAAGUAUAUCUUCUGAUGAAAAAUAAAAAAUAAAAAAAGUAGCAAAAGCCUCACACUAAACAAGAUAUCAUCCCUUGUAAGAAAUGGGAAAAACUCAUCCAAGAUAUAAACACGAGAGUUUCAUCUAUUUAAUAUGUGGAUAUAGACCAGGUACAAAUAAGAAUUUCCCAUAUGAAAUAGCUUCCUGUAAUUAUAUUCCUAAAACAGUUGUUUCUCACAUGAUUGAAAGCAAGUGCAAGAUUAGACAAUGUAUGAACCUUCACAUUUUUCACACACGAAUUUGUCUUCUCCAACCUUGAGCACUCCUUUUACUUGCUCCAUUCAACAGCAGUAAAAAAAAAAGCUUUUAGUAAACUCAUUGAUCAGCUCUUUAUGAAGGAAAAGGUAAACUUUUUUUUCUUAUUAUUUUUUGCCAACAUGCGAAAAACAAGACAACUGCAUUGGGGAAAUUCUUACCAAAAAAUACAGAUCAAAGUCAAGGAAAUUGCACAGCUUGUGGAAAGAAAAGCAUCGUCCUACUAAACUUGCCUAAUACUAACAAAAUUACAUAGUCCAAAAUGAGCGUUAUCAUCCUGCAAACUGCAAGAUAAUAAUCAUACAGGCACGCAUGCAUUACCUGCAUAUGCAACACUUGUCAUAUAUAGAGAUUUAACAGGGGAACUUAAUUAACUUAUUGAAAAUUUAUAUAAAAUCAGUCCAAACUUAAAAGCUGAGAAAUUUAGUGGGGUGGUGUAGCAAAAGCCAUGAUUCUUAAUGAACAUGUUAAAAGUUCCAAACUGUUGAUAGAAAUUAUUUGAAGUUUUGAACAAUCUAGCAGACCAAUUUACCCAACAGUAUAAAAUUUAAUAUGCAGUCAAUUUUGCCAGUUGUUUUUUUGUCAGCCAAAUAUCUAGACCAGAUUCCAUCAAUUGGACAAAAUCUAGCAAGCAGCCCUAAUAUGAUUUGGUGAGACUCAACCAAACAGAACUAAACAGUAUACAAAUCAGCUGAAAUUGCACAAACUUAGCCAGGUAAGUACGCAAAUUUAGAUAUAGCAUUUCCUACCAUACACAAAACAACCAAUGACAAAGAAUGAAAUGCUUCGAACUAAUUAUCCCCUCAAGCUAUCAUACAAAGUUCAAAACUUUGUAUUUAGAUAAGCCAUAUUUAACUAUCCAAGCAUCCAAAUUUACAUAACAAAACCCCCAAGUCACAUAUAUCAAUUUCCGGAGUCAAACAACAUACACCAACUCAUUGGCUAAUCACACCCAAAUUUUUGCGGGAAAAAUAAUAUAGAAGAGAAGCAUAGAUCAAUUCUUAACCAAAAGAUUAUCAGCGAAGCAUUACACCCAAAAUGCCACCACAAUGAGCUUACCCAACAAUCCAAAUUGUGCAGUAUAUCCUCCAACAGAUCAUACCAUAAUGCAAUUUCCACAACCUUAUACACAUGGUUUAAGUUCAUGCUUGAGAACCCAUAUUUAUGUAGAAAGAAUCAGUGCAGAAAAGCAUAAAAGGCAGUGGAAAUAUAAAUCAAGAGAGCCGAAGAAACCAGAAGGACCAAUGCUGUAACCGCGUGAACCGCACUCUUGCUUCCACAUGACAACAUCCCCAACCGAAUCUGAAUCACAUUCACCAUUGAAAGCACCAAAAAGAUGCAACCCAUCACCGACCCCACCGCAGAACCCAUCAUCCCAGAUCUCAAUACCUUUAGAUUGAUGUGGGCUCUGAAAGCCUCAUCCACGUCUUUGCUAUUCAACAAGUUAAUAGCAAGUUUAAGGCCUUGAGCAAUUAGGGAGGAAAAGAGGAAGAAGCUGAAAGACACAACCUCAAAGACAAGGAGUUUUUUCGCCACAUCGAUGCCCGCGUCGCAGGCAGAGCGAUUCUCGAGGCUGCGCUGGCCUGGGGUGGUGAGAGAGAGGCCCACGAAGACAGCGAUUGUGAAAAGGGAGUUGACGUUGACGAGGCCAUCGAGGGCGGUCACGUGGACGCUGGUAGUGGUGGAAGCAGAGGAGGAAGAAGUGGAGGUAACCCUUCCGGUGGUAUUCUCGCUGUAGUAGGGGUCUUUUGGAGAUUGAUCCAUUAUUUAAUCUUUAAUGAAUCUUGGGAGUAGCUUGCAGGGUGUAUGUUCCCUUCAGUUCCCAGCAAUGAUAGGCAGGGAAUCAAAGCUUCAAGAAGGAGCUCCACUCUGUUUAUAGGAAAAGCUUCUAACUUUUUGGUUUGUGCAUAGUGGGUUUGUUAAUUAGCUUGUGGGGAUUUAUUUGAGUUCGGUUUGUUGGAGGUGAGAGUGGGAAAGAAGGAGAUGGCUUGGCUUUUUAGUUAUAUUUGGUUGCUUAUUGGAUGGGAUAAAGGUUGGUGAUUUGCAAAGAGGAGUGGGCAAAGGUCCAGUGGAAGUGGAGGCACAGAAAACAGGUGGUGUUUGUACAAGAGGACAUUUUUUUUUUUUU
RNAcentral lists this unclassified non-coding RNA (2873 nucleotides) under Hevea brasiliensis (rubber tree). Lineage: Eukaryota; Viridiplantae; Streptophyta; Magnoliopsida; Malpighiales; Euphorbiaceae. The record is from RNAcentral.